GUUCCUAGUUCUGGAGCAACAGACCUGCUUACUUACUUACUUACUUUUCGCCUAGUGUCCUCGUUGCUCACCUCUGGAAGAGCGUAAAGAUGAAGCCCGCAUCGGCGCCGCCUCUGAUCAUCUUCUUGGUGUUGAACUGACACCUGAAGCCUAUCUGACAGAAGAUGGUCAAGGGGUCUAGUGGGUAUUCAGGACCUGCCAGAUCAGAAAUCCGUCUGCUUGGCCACAUCACGUGGUGAUGUUGUUUUGUACAACCUUAGCAUCAAUCAGGUAGUUGGAGUGUGUUGGAAGAGUGGACAGUGGUCUGACUGCAAUUAGUUUAGGUCCAAACCAAGAGAUGGUUGCGUUCUGCACAGGUAGGUAUUAGUCAUCAUGGUUCAUAAAGACACACUGUACUCUUACACAUUAAGACUAUUCCAUGGAAGCUAAAGGAUGCGACACUGACCAGUGGGAUAUGCAUGUUGGGCCUCCUGCAUUGAAUGUGGAUGUGGGUGCGCACCAACAACACUGACAAUUCUAGCCAAAUGUCGCCACAUACUGCCCUGUCCACUGUUGGGGUAAAAGUAUGUUACUAUACUUUAAAUAUACUUUAUAUGUUAUGUUAAUUAAACAAUUUGCACACUUUCCCAAAGUUUCUUUAAUAUGAAGUAGGAAAUAGGCCUUUCAUUGGUUAGUUGAUGCAGUGUAUGCUUUUUACUGAGCAGUAACUUUGUUUUUAAUGAGACAAUUAGAAGGGAUGGAAGCGAAAAAACAGCUCUGCUGUCUCGCUUUGUUGAUCAGAGAAGAAAGGAAGGAAGGCCUCCUGGGUUUGCGGCGCUCCAUGAGAGGAGGUGGAGUCCAUUUCCUUUGGUGCCGCCCCCAAAACAUCCAGCCAGUUGUGAUUGGCAGCGUCCGUUUUUUAACGGUGAACUGAUGGAGCUGGCAGGAAUGACUGGAAACGGCCACAGGAAGUUCUUGUGCAGGCGUUUGAGGGCAAUGACAAAUUCUUCGACACGGGUGAUGUGAGUGCGCUCCCGGCACCCCCAGCCAAUCAGCUCGAAGCCCAGCUGAGCGAUGAAACAGCCCAGGUCCCUCAGAUGCACCUGCUCCAGCAGCCGCCGCGAAUGACGCCACAACAUCGAACCUAUGUUCUCAGCACUCUCGCCGUCCUUCCUAUAUGCACACACACACAUUACAAUGAAAUACACUUUGUGUGUAUAUAUGUUUUAGUUACAUAGACCAGCAGUUCAUAUCCAUACACUCUGAUAUCUUCUUUCUCAAUCAGAACAGAGGAAUCUGAAGACAGAAUACAAGACUGAUACCUGAUGGGCAGGGUUUAAACACAACACACAAUAAACGGCUGCCUGACACCAAUCUGUGCAUUUUUAAUAGCUUGAUGUAUAUUUAUGUAUUUGCCUAGCUUCAGCCUAGUUCAGCUCACAUUCCAAAACCUCUAAAAACCUCUUAAAAAUUGUUUCUAAUACUUGAAAAGAGUCUAAAUUAAAUAAACAAUUACUUAAAGGAUAUUUGAAAUACUUAUUUAUGUACAUAGGCAUAGGAACCAGGGGGGAUGGGUGACGUGUCCCACCCAAAAUCAGAAACAGGUGGAUUGGCCAACCCCCCCCCUUCACUUAUAAUGAGGAUUUUUCUUAACUAUAUAUUUUUGUGCCAAAUCAGAGAUGUAUAGUAACGAAGUAGAACUACUUCACUAUUGUUAUGGCUGUGCCUGUUUUUCCUGUGCUUUCUUUGUUUUCUCUUGCUCUGUCUCUGUACCUCCAUGUCCCUAGGUGGUGCUGUUCUAGAUGCUGUCUCCAGCCCUUCCUGGAAGUGAAUAAAAAAGGCGGGAAAUCCACCAUCCCGAGGACUGUUUGACUGGCUGUUUGAGAGAGAGAGAGCUAGAGCUGUGUGUUUUAGUGGCUGCGUCCAGAAACUUUUGCUACUCCUCCUCUCCUACUCCCCCUUUCCUACUCCUCCUCUCCUACUCCGGAAGAAGGUGGAGGAAUCGAGGAGAAGAGAGGAGGAGGAGGAAUGGAGGGAAGGAGCUGUAAUUGGGGAAAUGGGACAGCUGAUCCCUUUUAGAUAGGAUGUUGACUACCGUUGAACUGAGCCAAUCACAACGCUCACUUUCAGCACGUUUCAGAACAUUACUAUCACACACAGCCAAAAAUUCAGUAUUCCAAUAAAAUCCUGUUUACUCCCAGCCGCAUUUUAGGCCGCAUCUCUGACCACUGACUCUGGCAGCCCUGUCUGACCUCAGCCUUAUGAGGGAUUCAGUUUCCUCAUCAGUCCCUAAGUUAAAAUAAAUAAGUAAAUAAAUGAAUUAAUUAAAAUUAUAUAUACAUAUUAUAAAUAAUAUAUGUUUUUAUAUGUGUAACAUGAUACACAUAGGGUCAUAAAUAUAGUUUUACUGAGCAUACAGUUUAUCUAAACUAUAAAUUAUAUUACUGCUUUACUGGCUGUUUAAUUAGAUAAGGAACCUAGUUAAUUAAUAUGUUUAUGACGUAUAUUUGGGCGUUGCCUUCCCCAUUUUCGCGUGCUCUGUGGGCGUGGAUGCAGUGAUGUCAUUGGAAAAUCCUUAAAAGUCUUCCGGAGUAGGAUACACUGAUGUAACCUCCGUUGGAAGCCUACUACAGGUGGAUUUUAAGCGGCUUCUUUCGUCUCCUACGGUAUUCGGACAGGCGGCAAGAUGGCGUCACGAAAUCAGUUUCCGGGUCACGGAGGAGAGGAGGAGGAUCGGUAGGAAAAAGGAGACACUUUUGGGGUUUCUGGACGCAGCCAGUGUGUGUGCUGAUUUGGAGCUAUAUCUGUGUGCUUUGCUGUGUGUUGCUAGUUUAGUGUGCUCUUUGUUGGCUUGUGUGUGAGGCCUAACUUUUGUGUUCAUUGUGUUUGUGCCAGAAGGGGGUAAGUGCCAUUUGUGUUGUACAUUUAUUUUCUCCUGUUUAUGGUCAGUUAGGGAGUUAGGGUUAGUUUCUGUAUUUUCUUUGCUUUUCAUUUGGUUAGAUUAGUUAGAAUUGUGGGUAGAGUUAGAGUGGGUUUUGUUUAUUAUUUUGGCCUUGCUUACCCCUGGAGAGAUGGCUUAUUUGUUUGUAAAUAAUUGUAAAUACACUUUUGAUAUUUGAAACGUU
Astyanax mexicanus (Mexican tetra) is the source of this 3104-nucleotide long non-coding RNA. RefSeq lists it as uncharacterized. Lineage: Eukaryota; Metazoa; Chordata; Actinopteri; Characiformes; Acestrorhamphidae. The record is from RefSeq and is a predicted model, not a curated record. The transcript is spliced from 3 exons.